This 66-nucleotide transfer RNA is filed under the name Amphiporus formidabilis. Its description in RNAcentral is "tRNA-Asp". The record is from RNAcentral. Lineage: Eukaryota; Metazoa; Nemertea; Enopla; Monostilifera; Amphiporidae.
AAAAAGUUAGUUUAAUAAAAAUGUAAGUUUGUCGUUCUUAGGAUGCUUGGUUUUAAGUACUUUUUG